Molecule: ribosomal RNA, 972 nt
Filed under: Deconica pratensis
Lineage: Eukaryota; Fungi; Basidiomycota; Agaricomycetes; Agaricales; Kuehneromycetaceae
Description: partial large subunit ribosomal RNA
Rfam family: Eukaryotic large subunit ribosomal RNA
Source: RNAcentral
GACCUCAAAUCAGGUAGGACUACCCGCUGAACUUAAGCAUAUCAAUAAGCGGAGGAAAAGAAACUAACAAGGAUUCCCCUAGUAACUGCGAGUGAAGCGGGAAAAGCUCAAAUUUAAAAUCUGGCAGUCUUUGAUUGUCCGAGUUGUAAUCUAGAGAAGUGUUAUCCGCGUUGGACCGUGUACAAGUCUCCUGGAAUGGAGCGUCAUAGAGGGUGAGAAUCCCGUCUUUGACACGGACUACCAGUGCUUUGUGAUGCGCUCUCAAAGAGUCGAGUUGUUUGGGAAUGCAGCUCAAAAUGGGUGGUAAAUUCCAUCUAAAGCUAAAUAUUGGCGAGAGACCGAUAGCGAACAAGUACCGUGAGGGAAAGAUGAAAAGAACUUUGGAAAGAGAGUUAAACAGUACGUGAAAUUGCUGAAAGGGAAACGCUUGAAGUCAGUCGCGUUGUCCGGGGAUCAACCUUGCUUUUGCUGGGUGUACUUUCCGGUUGACGGGUCAGCAUCAAUUUUGACCGUUGGAUAAAGUGUAAGGGAAUGUGGCAUCUUCGGAUGUGUUAUAGCCCUUGCUCGCAUACAACGAUUGGGAUUGAGGAACUCAGUACGCCGCAAGGCCGGGAAUUUAUUCCACGUUCGUACUUAGGAUGCUGGCAUAAUGGCUUUAAUCGACCCGUCUUGAAACACGGACCAAGGAGUCUAACAUGCCUGCGAGUGUUUGGGUGGAAAACCCGAGCGCGUAAUGAAAGUGAAAGUUGAGAUCCCUGUCGUGGGGAGCAUCGACGCCCGGACCAGACCUUUUGUGACGGAUCUGCGGUAGAGCAUGUAUGUUGGGACCCGAAAGAUGGUGAACUAUGCCUGAAUAGGGUGAAGCCAGAGGAAACUCUGGUGGAGGCUCGUAGCGAUUCUGACGUGCAAAUCGAUCGUCAAAUUUGGGUAUAGGGGCGAAAGACUAAUCGAACCAUCUAGUAGCUGGUUCCU